This 235-nucleotide long non-coding RNA is filed under the name Elaeis guineensis (African oil palm). RNAcentral's name for it is "long non-coding RNA (EGUI_LNC066490)". Lineage: Eukaryota; Viridiplantae; Streptophyta; Magnoliopsida; Arecales; Arecaceae. The record is from RNAcentral.
CCUCCCACUAAGUUCAUCGACUCCUUGAGGAGUUGGUGAUCCUUCUCAAAGUUCUGAAGCAACCCCAGUAACCCGUGGUAGUUUACUUCAGGCUUUGUCAUUCUAUAAUGAGUGAGGAAUGGAAGAUAAGACUUGGGCAGCGAGUUCAGUAUUGCAUCUUUUCCAAGCUGCUCAUGCAAGAGAAAGUCGAGCUUGCUCAAUCAUUCCAUCAGCUCGAUCAUGUACAAUACAUGAU